AAUCAAGCAGUGACGUGCCUCAUCCGUUCCUAACCCCAAAGCCGAAGCCACCGUGCACCUCACCAUAACCAUCAGCAUCAGCCCCAAUAUGACCAUUAAAGUCCCCUCCAAUAACUAACUUCUCGGAUUAGGGAAUACUACUCACCAGAUCAUCCAAGUCCUCCCAAAAGCCCCUCUUAACCUCCUCGUCUAAGCCCGCUUGCGGCGCGUAAGCGCUGAUGACGUUGAGGACGCAACCCCCAAUAUCCAACUUAAUAGAUAUUAACCUAUCAUUCACUCG
This 280-nucleotide long non-coding RNA is filed under the name Nicotiana benthamiana. RNAcentral describes it as "long non-coding RNA (NBEN_LNC021895)". The record is from RNAcentral. Lineage: Eukaryota; Viridiplantae; Streptophyta; Magnoliopsida; Solanales; Solanaceae.